RNAcentral lists this small nuclear RNA (105 nucleotides) under Pteropus alecto (black flying fox). RNAcentral describes it as "U2 spliceosomal RNA". It matches the Rfam family "U2 spliceosomal RNA". From Rfam's summary of the family: U2 is a small nuclear RNA (snRNA) component of the spliceosome (involved in pre-mRNA splicing). Complementary binding between U2 snRNA (in an area lying towards the 5' end but 3' to hairpin I) and the branchpoint sequence (BPS) of the intron results the bulging out of an unpaired adenosine, on the BPS, which initiates a nucleophilic attack at the intronic 5' splice site, thus starting the first of two transesterification reactions that mediate splicing. The record is from Rfam by way of RNAcentral. Lineage: Eukaryota; Metazoa; Chordata; Mammalia; Chiroptera; Pteropodidae.
ACUGCUUCUCAGCUGUUUGACUAAGAUCAAGUGUGGUAUCUGUUUUUGUCAGUUUAAUGAUAUUAGCUUUUAGACUAAUAGUUUUUAAGAAAUGCAUUAGUCUUU